UACGUAGGGUGCGAGCGUUAAUCGGAAUUACUGGGCGUAAAGCGUGCGCAGGCGGUUGUGCAAGACAGAUGUGAAAUCCCCGGGCUCAACCUGGGAAUUGCAUUUGUGACUGCACGGCUAGAGUGUGUCAGAGGGGGGUAGAAUUCCACGUGUAGCAGUGAAAUGCGUAGAGAUGUGGAGGAAUACCGAUGGCGAAGGCAGCCCCCUGGGAUAACACUGACGCUCAUG
Molecule: ribosomal RNA, 228 nt
Filed under: uncultured bacterium
Lineage: Bacteria
Description: partial 16S ribosomal RNA
Rfam family: Bacterial small subunit ribosomal RNA
Source: RNAcentral